AAAGGCUUUUAACAGAAAUGAAUACUUUCAGACCAGUUUUGAAGGACUGAGUAGGAGUAAACUAAAAGAGAAAAAGCAGGACAAAAGAAGCACCACUUUGGAAGCUCAAAGCCGCACUGGAAACACAGUCUUUCAGGAUGUCUGAAAGGGGCAAGUCUGUUUGUGUGGGAUAUACAGGGAGUCCACGGAGCCUCCCCUGCAAGCAUCAGUACAGAAGUCGAUGAUAAUCUGGAUGCAAGCCCAGGAGUGUGGAGUCCACUGACUCAGAAGACCUGCAUCUAAGGAAUUGGCUGUUCUUAUCCUUAAGAAUGAUGACUGUGUUUCCAAUUCCAGUAGACCCUUUGAUGCGUUCUGAAUAAAUAUUCCUUUUGGAAUUGAACUUCUAGAGCCCUUAACUUUGGCCCACUCUAGUUUUCUGUCUGUUUUUUUUUUAAAUAUUUUUUUUGUAAAGAUAAGGUCUUGCUUUGUUGCCCAGGCUGGUCUUGAAUUCCUGGACUCAAGCAAUCCACCUGCCUUGGCCUCCCAAAGUGCUGGGAUUAUAGGUGUGAACCAUUGUGUCCGAUCGCUCUCUGGUUUUUCUAAUAUCAUGAUCCCAACUCUGUUCUUUAUGUAAAUUUCCCUGAUCACAUGGUUGCAUCUUGGCAUUUCAAAAUCCUUAACAGACUUUGUUUUGUUUGAAUUUUACAAUGAACUUACAUGACUAGGCAUGGUCCCCAGUUCAGUUUUAUAGACAAGGAUUCUGUAGGUCAAGAAGUGAAACACAACCAAUAACAGCAGGUGACAGGAUUUAAACCUGGGUCACUUUACUUAUUUUUUUCUACUCUAUCAUUAUGUGAAUCUAUCCUACCUCUGCAAUGACAGAUGGCCCUAGAGCAAGAACACUUCCUUACAUCUGGUAUACAGUCAAAAAGUAAAAAUUCCACACAAAUAAAUAUGGAAAGAAUUUUUACCUGCUCCUAUAGCUUCCUUUCAGGGACCUGGAACCCACAAAUGUUGGGUAACAGAAAGAGGACUUAUGUAACUUAACUCAAAGCAGAAAAGUUACAGAGACUGUCUUAGCAUAAUAGAACAUGGAGUGGUCAUGCUUGGAUGUGCAAACUGUCUGAUAGCCUUGCACAUGGCUUGACCCCGAAUUACACUAGUGGGGCAAGUUGCCUGGGGCAAAGCAAAC
RNAcentral lists this long non-coding RNA (1171 nucleotides) under Pan troglodytes (chimpanzee). Its description in RNAcentral is "long non-coding RNA NONPTRT013452". Lineage: Eukaryota; Metazoa; Chordata; Mammalia; Primates; Hominidae. The record is from RNAcentral.